CAGCACCUCAAGUGGUCAGGAUGAUUAUUGGGCCUAAAGCAUCCGUAGCCGGCGCUGUAAGUUUUCGGUUAAAUCUGUACGCUCAACGUACAGGCUGCCGGGAAUACUGCAGCGCUAGGGAGUGGGAGAGGUAGACGGUACUCGGUAGGAAGGGGUAAAAUCCUUUGAUCUAUUGAUGACCACCUGUGGCGAAGGCGGUCUACCAGAACACGUCCGACGGUGAGGGAUGAAAGCUGGGGGAGCGAACCGGAUUAGAGACCAGAGUAGUCC
RNAcentral lists this ribosomal RNA (270 nucleotides) under uncultured archaeon. RNAcentral describes it as "partial 16S ribosomal RNA". It matches the Rfam family "Archaeal small subunit ribosomal RNA", at positions 477 to 747 of the family's 1478-position model. The record is from RNAcentral.